AGAGUUUGAUCAUGGCUCAGGAUAAACGCUGGCGGUGUGCUUUAUGCAUGCAAGUCGAACGGGCUGUAGCAAUACAGUCAGUGGCAGACGGGUGAGUAACACGUAAGUAACCUGUCCUUAAGUGGGGAAUAACUCUGAGAAAUCGGAGCUAAUACCGCAUGUGAUCCUUGUUAUGAAGAUGAGGAUUAAAGCCGUAAGGCGCUUGAGGAGGGGCUUGCGCCCGAUUAGCUUGUUGGUGAGGUAACGGCCCACCAAGGCAACUAUCGGUAGCUGGUUUGAGAGGACGACCAGCCACACUGGAACUGAGACACGGUCCAGACUCCUACGGGAGGCAGCAGCAAGGAAUAUUGGGCAAUGGGCGAAAGCCUGACCCAGCGACACCGCGUGGGGGAAGAAGGCCUUCGGGUUGUAAACCCCUUUUAUCGGGGAAGAAUAAUGACGGUACCCGGUGAAUAAGCCUCGGCUAACUACGUGCCAGCAGCCGCGGUAAUACGUAGGAGGCAAGCGUUAUCCGGAUUUACUGGGCGUAAAGCGGGUGUAGGCGGCCUGUCAAGUCCGAUGUGAAAUCUCCCGGCUUAACCGGGAGGGGUCAUCAGAUACUGGCAGGCUGGAGUGCAGCAGAGGGUGAUGGAAUUCCCGGUGUAGUGGUGAAAUGCGUAGAUAUCGGGAAGAACACUAGUGGCGAAGGCGGUCACCUGGGCUGUAACUGACGCUGAGAUCCGAAGGCGUGGGGAGCAAACAGGAUUAGAUACCCUAGUAGUCC
This 763-nucleotide ribosomal RNA is filed under the name uncultured bacterium. RNAcentral describes it as "bacterial SSU rRNA". It matches the Rfam family "Bacterial small subunit ribosomal RNA", at positions 8 to 796 of the family's 1533-position model. The record is from RNAcentral.